This 2899-nucleotide ribosomal RNA is filed under the name Klebsiella pneumoniae. Its description in RNAcentral is "23S ribosomal RNA". It matches the Rfam family "Bacterial large subunit ribosomal RNA". The record is from RNAcentral. Lineage: Bacteria; Pseudomonadati; Pseudomonadota; Gammaproteobacteria; Enterobacterales; Enterobacteriaceae.
GGUUAAGCGACUAAGCGUACACGGUGGAUGCCCUGGCAGUCAGAGGCGAUGAAGGACGUGCUAAUCUGCGAAAAGCGUCGGUAAGGUGAUAUGAACCGUUAUAGCCGGCGAUGUCCGAAUGGGGAAACCCAGUGCAAUUCGUUGCACUAUCGUUAACUGAAUACAUAGGUUAACGAGGCGAACCGGGGGAACUGAAACAUCUAAGUACCCCGAGGAAAAGAAAUCAACCGAGAUUCCCCCAGUAGCGGCGAGCGAACGGGGAGCAGCCCAGAGUCUGAAUCAGCUUGUGUGUUAGUGGAACGGUCUGGAAAGUCCGACGGUACAGGGUGAUAGUCCCGUACACCAAAAUGCACAGGUUGUGAACUCGAAGAGUAGGGCGGGACACGUGGUAUCCUGUCUGAAUAUGGGGGGACCAUCCUCCAAGGCUAAAUACUCCUGACUGACCGAUAGUGAACCAGUACCGUGAGGGAAAGGCGAAAAGAACCCCGGCGAGGGGAGUGAAAAAGAACCUGAAACCGUGUACGUACAAGCAGUGGGAGCACCUUCGGGUGUGACUGCGUACCUUUUGUAUAAUGGGUCAGCGACUUAUAUUCUGUAGCAAGGUUAACCGUAUAGGGGAGCCGCAGGGAAACCGAGUCUUAACUGGGCGUUAAGUUGCAGGGUAUAGACCCGAAACCCGGUGAUCUAGCCAUGGGCAGGUUGAAGGUUGGGUAACACUAACUGGAGGACCGAACCGACUAAUGUUGAAAAAUUAGCGGAUGACUUGUGGCUGGGGGUGAAAGGCCAAUCAAACCGGGAGAUAGCUGGUUCUCCCCGAAAGCUAUUUAGGUAGCGCCUCGUGAAUUCAUCUUCGGGGGUAGAGCACUGUUUCGGCUAGGGGUCAUCCCGACUUACCAACCCGAUGCAAACUACGAAUACCGAAGAAUGUUAUCACGGGAGACACACGGCGGGUGCUAACGUCCGUCGUGAAGAGGGAAACAACCCAGACCGCCAGCUAAGGUCCCAAAGUCAUGGUUAAGUGGGAAACGAUGUGGGAAGGCACAGACAGCCAGGAUGUUGGCUUAGAAGCAGCCAUCAUUUAAAGAAAGCGUAAUAGCUCACUGGUCGAGUCGGCCUGCGCGGAAGAUGUAACGGGGCUAAACCAUGCACCGAAGCUGCGGCAGCGACACUAUGUGUUGUUGGGUAGGGGAGCGUUCUGUAAGCCUGCGAAGGUGUGCUGUGAGGCAUGCUGGAGGUAUCAGAAGUGCGAAUGCUGACAUAAGUAACGAUAAAGCGGGUGAAAAGCCCGCUCGCCGGAAGACCAAGGGUUCCUGUCCAACGUUAAUCGGGGCAGGGUGAGUCGACCCCUAAGGCGAGGCCGAAAGGCGUAGUCGAUGGGAAACAGGUUAAUAUUCCUGUACUUGGUGUUACUGCGAAGGGGGACGGAGAAGGCUAUGUUAGCCGGGCGACGGUUGUCCCGGUUUAAGCAUGUAGGCUGGUUGUCCAGGCAAAUCCGGAUAAUCAAGGCUGAGGUGUGAUGACGAGGCACUACGGUGCUGAAGUAACAAAUGCCCUGCUUCCAGGAAAAGCCUCUAAGCAUCAGGUAACAUUAAAUCGUACCCCAAACCGACACAGGUGGUCAGGUAGAGAAUACCAAGGCGCUUGAGAGAACUCGGGUGAAGGAACUAGGCAAAAUGGUGCCGUAACUUCGGGAGAAGGCACGCUGGUGUGUAGGUGAAGUCCCUGCGGAUGGAGCUGAGACCAGUCGAAGAUACCAGCUGGCUGCAACUGUUUAUUAAAAACACAGCACUGUGCAAACACGAAAGUGGACGUAUACGGUGUGACGCCUGCCCGGUGCCGGAAGGUUAAUUGAUGGGGUUAUCCGUAAGGAGAAGCUCUUGAUCGAAGCCCCGGUAAACGGCGGCCGUAACUAUAACGGUCCUAAGGUAGCGAAAUUCCUUGUCGGGUAAGUUCCGACCUGCACGAAUGGCGUAAUGAUGGCCAGGCUGUCUCCACCCGAGACUCAGUGAAAUUGAACUCGCUGUGAAGAUGCAGUGUACCCGCGGCAAGACGGAAAGACCCCGUGAACCUUUACUAUAGCUUGACACUGAACAUUGAGCCUUGAUGUGUAGGAUAGGUGGGAGGCUUUGAAGCGUGGACGCCAGUCUGCGUGGAGCCAACCUUGAAAUACCACCCUUUAAUGUUUGAUGUUCUAACGUUGGCCCCUUACCGGGGUUGCGGACAGUGUCUGGUGGGUAGUUUGACUGGGGCGGUCUCCUCCCAAAGCGUAACGGAGGAGCACGAAGGUUAGCUAAUCCUGGUCGGACAUCAGGAGGUUAGUGCAAUGGCAUAAGCUAGCUUGACUGCGAGCGUGACGGCGCGAGCAGGUGCGAAAGCAGGUCAUAGUGAUCCGGUGGUUCUGAAUGGAAGGGCCAUCGCUCAACGGAUAAAAGGUACUCCGGGGAUAACAGGCUGAUACCGCCCAAGAGUUCAUAUCGACGGCGGUGUUUGGCACCUCGAUGUCGGCUCAUCACAUCCUGGGGCUGAAGUAGGUCCCAAGGGUAUGGCUGUUCGCCAUUUAAAGUGGUACGCGAGCUGGGUUUAGAACGUCGUGAGACAGUUCGGUCCCUAUCUGCCGUGGGCGCUGGAGAAUUGAGGGGGCUGCUCCUAGUACGAGAGGACCGGAGUGGACGCAUCACUGGUGUUCGGGUUGUCAUGCCAAUGGCACUGCCCGGUAGCUAAAUGCGGAAGAGAUAAGUGCUGAAAGCAUCUAAGCACGAAACUUGCCCCGAGAUGAGUUCUCCCUGAGACUUUAAGUCUCCUGAAGGAACGUUGAAGACGACGACGUUGAUAGGCCGGGUGUGUAAGCGCAGCGAUGCGUUGAGCUAACCGGUACUAAUGAACCGUGAGGCUUAACCUU